UCUAUAACUUCAGACAUGAGUUGAACACCGAACAAUAUCUAGGGUGCAAAACAGAUUCAGACUUCUUCUUUUUUUGCUAAAAUUUAAACUUAAAAGAGAAAGUAUUAAGUCUUUGGCUCUUCAUGAAUAUUUUAUGCACACGUAUAAAAUUUCCAUC
Non-coding RNA from Populus trichocarpa (black cottonwood), 157 nucleotides. Lineage: Eukaryota; Viridiplantae; Streptophyta; Magnoliopsida; Malpighiales; Salicaceae. The record is from Rfam.